This 490-nucleotide ribosomal RNA is filed under the name uncultured bacterium. Its description in RNAcentral is "partial 16S ribosomal RNA". The stretch from base 51 to 490 matches the Rfam family "Bacterial small subunit ribosomal RNA", at positions 38 to 507 of the family's 1533-position model. The record is from RNAcentral.
GGGGGGGGGGGGGGGGGGGGGGGGGGGGGGGGGGGCGGGGGGGGGGGGGGGGGGGCGGGCGGGUGCGCGGACGGGGGGCGGGCGGGGGAGUAAUGUCGGGGAGGCCGCCUGAGGGAGGGGGAGAACUACGGGAAACGGUAGCUAAUACCGCAUAACGUCGCAAGACCAAAGAGGGGGACCUUCGGGCCCCUUGCCCUCGGAUGUGCCCAGAUGGGAUUAGCUAGUAGGUGGGGUAACGGCUCACCUAGGCGACGAUCCCUAGCUGGUCUGAGAGGAUGACCAGCCACACUGGAACUGAGACACGGUCCAGACUCCUACGGGAGGCAGCAGUGGGGAAUAUUGCACAAUGGGCGCAAGCCUGAUGCAGCCAUGCCGCGUGUAUGAAGAGGGCCUUCGGGUUGUAAAGUACUUUCAGCGGGGAGGAAGGGAGUAAAGUUAAUACCUUUGCUCAUUGACGUUACCCGCAGAAGAAGCACCGGCUAACUCCGUG